AUAAUAGGUUUUGACGCGUAUCCUGUAGCCCCUUCAAUUUCGUGUGCCUUCGUGUGACAGCAUCGGUUUGACUUCUGAUGCGUUUACAAACCAGUUAAAGAUUCUAUUAAACAAAUGACAGGAUUUCAAGCACGGCUGUCUCUAAUUUACGACGCAGUUCCUACACGCCGUAAUUAAAUUUAGUUUCGGAAUGUCUAUAUAGAGUCCGAAGCGCACUGCAUCCUUACGAAAGACUUUUGCACAUCGUACAUCGUGAUAACAGUAUAUCGGCGCCAGGACUUAAACAUGACUACUAAAGGUGUGGUGCUUAUCGGGGUACUAUUGGUUAUGGUGGCGAGUCUUUGUCAGAGGACCGAAGGGCUCACUUCUGGGCUUAUCAAGGGGUCAGGAAAACGACAUGUUCAAAGAGGAGAGUAUGAGCGUGAAAUCGCUAAUGCUGCCGUGGACAACCUGUGCCAAGUUGCGAGAGACCUCGGCUGCGAUAGAAGAAGAUAACAGAACGCGACAAGAAUACCAAGGACAUUUUUAUGAUCCAUUAAAAGUCAUGAUUGAACUCUUAUCACGCAAAUCAAGCACUAGCUGAAUUGGAUGUUCUGGACAUCUGUACAAUUGAACUUAUAUUUAUGGCUACAAAGAUGUAUUUCAAACUAUGAACCCUUGAACUCUUCCUGUGAACAAACUUUCGGUUCUCCAUAUACUUUGUACAGCUAUUAAGAAUAAAUUUGCACUCUGAGGAACUA
Nematostella vectensis (starlet sea anemone) is the source of this 740-nucleotide long non-coding RNA. RefSeq lists it as uncharacterized. The transcript is spliced from 2 exons. The record is from RefSeq and is a predicted model, not a curated record. Lineage: Eukaryota; Metazoa; Cnidaria; Anthozoa; Actiniaria; Edwardsiidae.